Schistocerca serialis cubense is the source of this 422-nucleotide long non-coding RNA. RefSeq lists it as uncharacterized. The record is from RefSeq and is a predicted model, not a curated record. The transcript has 3 exons. Lineage: Eukaryota; Metazoa; Arthropoda; Insecta; Orthoptera; Acrididae.
CUUUCGUUCGUCUGCUAGGCUGGCUAUCGCAGUUAAAGAUACUUUGACUACAGAGACAUCUAUUGUUGUCAGUCGAGGAAACACUUAUGACUUUGUGGGAGAGAGAAAUAAUGUUUUGAGCAGUGAAGUGCCGCGGAAGUUUGGCGAAUUGUGAAAGUUUGGGGUAUUGUUUUGUUAGUGUCUAAUGUGAGAUUUGUGGCUGCUGGCUAUCGAAACUACUUCUAGGGAACUGAAAAUUUAUUUUGCUUUCGUUCCGAGGUUCAUUCUCUCGCUUAGAGAUGGUGUAGUUUCAGUCAAGUCAUUGCAGUCCUAACACCUGUGAAUGAAAAAUACAAUGCUGAAGUGAAGCACAAUGGCAGCUCCAGUGAAGCACAUUGAAUGGAAGUUUGGAGUAAACAAAGCCUGCAGUAUUUUAGGGUCGA